UCUCUGGUAGUAUAUCGGAUAGUACAUCCGCCUGUCAUGCAUUCCCAGUGACGCGGAAGAGCGGGGUUCGACUCCCCGCCAGAGAG
Molecule: transfer RNA, 86 nt
Filed under: Boletus reticuloceps
Lineage: Eukaryota; Fungi; Basidiomycota; Agaricomycetes; Boletales; Boletaceae
Description: tRNA-Asp
Rfam family: tRNA
About the family: Transfer RNA (tRNA) molecules are approximately 80 nucleotides in length. Their secondary structure includes four short double-helical elements and three loops (D, anti-codon, and T loops). Further hydrogen bonds mediate the characteristic L-shaped molecular structure. tRNAs have two regions of fundamental functional importance: the anti-codon, which is responsible for specific mRNA codon recognition, and the 3' end, to which the tRNAs corresponding amino acid is attached (by aminoacyl-tRNA synthetases). tRNAs cope with the degeneracy of the genetic code in two manners: having more than one tRNA (with a specific anti-codon) for a particular amino acid; and 'wobble' base-pairing, i.e. permitting non-standard base-pairing at the 3rd anti-codon position.
Source: RNAcentral